GCCUGGGUGGCUCAGUCGUUUGAGCGGCUGACUUCGGCUCAGGUCAUGAUCUCGCGGUCCGUGAGUUCGAGCCCCACAUCGGGCU
Molecule: transfer RNA, 85 nt
Filed under: Felis catus (domestic cat)
Lineage: Eukaryota; Metazoa; Chordata; Mammalia; Carnivora; Felidae
Rfam family: tRNA
About the family: Transfer RNA (tRNA) molecules are approximately 80 nucleotides in length. Their secondary structure includes four short double-helical elements and three loops (D, anti-codon, and T loops).
Source: Rfam by way of RNAcentral